This 1622-nucleotide ribosomal RNA is filed under the name Salmonella enterica. RNAcentral's name for it is "partial 23S ribosomal RNA". It matches the Rfam family "Bacterial large subunit ribosomal RNA", at positions 1199 to 2803 of the family's 2925-position model. Lineage: Bacteria; Pseudomonadati; Pseudomonadota; Gammaproteobacteria; Enterobacterales; Enterobacteriaceae. The record is from RNAcentral.
GCUGCGGCAGCGACACUAUGUGUUGUUGGGUAGGGGAGCGUUCUGUAAGCCUGUGAAGGUGUGUCGUGAGGCAUGCUGGAGGUAUCAGAAGUGCGAAUGCUGACAUAAGUAACGAUAAAGCGGGUGAAAAGCCCGCUCGCCGGAAGACCAAGGGUUCCUGUCCAACGUUAAUCGGGGCAGGGUGAGUCGACCCCUAAGGCGAGGCCGAAAGGCGUAGUCGAUGGGAAACGGGUUAAUAUUCCCGUACUUGGUGUUACUGCGAAGGGGGGACGGAGAAGGCUAUGUUGGCCGGGCGACGGUUGUCCCGGUUUAAGCGUGUAGGUGUGUGUUCCAGGUAAAUCCGGUUCACUUUAACACUGAGGCGUGACGACGAGGCACUACGGUGCUGAAGCAACAAAUGCCCUGCUUCCAGGAAAAGCCUCUAAGCAUCAGGUAACAUCAAAUCGUACCCCAAACCGACACAGGUGGUCAGGUAGAGAAUACCAAGGCGCUUGAGAGAACUCGGGUGAAGGAACUAGGCAAAAUGGUGCCGUAACUUCGGGAGAAGGCACGCUGACACGUAGGUGAAGUGAUUUACUCAUGGAGCUGAAGUCAGUCGAAGAUACCAGCUGGCUGCAACUGUUUAUUAAAAACACAGCACUGUGCAAACACGAAAGUGGACGUAUACGGUGUGACGCCUGCCCGGUGCCGGAAGGUUAAUUGAUGGGGUCAGCGCAAGCGAAGCUCCUGAUCGAAGCCCCGGUAAACGGCGGCCGUAACUAUAACGGUCCUAAGGUAGCGAAAUUCCUUGUCGGGUAAGUUCCGACCUGCACGAAUGGCGUAAUGAUGGCCAGGCUGUCUCCACCCGAGACUCAGUGAAAUUGAACUCGCUGUGAAGAUGCAGUGUACCCGCGGCAAGACGGAAAGACCCCGUGAACCUUUACUAUAGCUUGACACUGAACAUUGAGCCUUGAUGUGUAGGAUAGGUGGGAGGCUUUGAAGUGUGGACGCCAGUCUGCAUGGAGCCGACCUUGAAAUACCACCCUUUAAUGUUUGAUGUUCUAACGUGGACCCGUGAUCCGGGUUGCGGACAGUGUCUGGUGGGUAGUUUGACUGGGGCGGUCUCCUCCUAAAGAGUAACGGAGGAGCACGAAGGUUGGCUAAUCCUGGUCGGACAUCAGGAGGUUAGUGCAAUGGCAUAAGCCAGCUUGACUGCGAGCGUGACGGCGCGAGCAGGUGCGAAAGCAGGUCAUAGUGAUCCGGUGGUUCUGAAUGGAAGGGCCAUCGCUCAACGGAUAAAAGGUACUCCGGGGAUAACAGGCUGAUACCGCCCAAGAGUUCAUAUCGACGGCGGUGUUUGGCACCUCGAUGUCGGCUCAUCACAUCCUGGGGCUGAAGUAGGUCCCAAGGGUAUGGCUGUUCGCCAUUUAAAGUGGUACGCGAGCUGGGUUUAGAACGUCGUGAGACAGUUCGGUCCCUAUCUGCCGUGGGCGCUGGAGAACUGAGGGGGGCUGCUCCUAGUACGAGAGGACCGGAGUGGACGCAUCACUGGUGUUCGGGUUGUCAUGCCAAUGGCACUGCCCGGUAGCUAAAUGCGGAAGAGAUAAGUGCUGAAAGCAUCUAAGCACGAAACUUGCCCCGAG